UACGUAGGGGGCAAGCGUUGUCCGGAAUCAUUGGGCGUAAAGAGCGUGUAGGCGGCUCGAUAAGUCUGCUGUGAAAGUCCAGGGCUCAACCCUGGAAGGCCGGUGGAAACUGUCGGGCUAGAGUCCGGAAGAGGCGAGUGGAAUUCCCGGUGUAGCGGUGAAAUGCGCAGAUAUCAGGAGGAACACCGAUGGCGAAGGCAGAUCUCUGGGCCGUAACUGACGCUGAGGAGCGAAAGCGUGGGGAGCGAACAGG
Molecule: ribosomal RNA, 253 nt
Filed under: uncultured bacterium
Lineage: Bacteria
Description: partial 16S ribosomal RNA
Rfam family: Bacterial small subunit ribosomal RNA
Source: RNAcentral